RNAcentral lists this ribosomal RNA (449 nucleotides) under uncultured bacterium. Its description in RNAcentral is "partial 16S ribosomal RNA". It matches the Rfam family "Bacterial small subunit ribosomal RNA", at positions 29 to 523 of the family's 1533-position model. The record is from RNAcentral.
AACGAACGCUGGCGGCAGGCCUAACACAUGCAAGUCGAACGCCCUAGCAAUAGGGAGUGGCAGACGGGUGAGUAACGCGUGGGAACGUGCCCUUCGGUUCGGAAUAACUCAGGGAAACUUGAGCUAAUACCGGAUACGUGCGAGAGCAGAAAGAUUUAUCGCCGAAGGAUCGGCCCGCGUCCGAUUAGCUAGUUGGUGAGGUAAUGGCUCACCAAGGCGACGAUCGGUAGCUGGUCUGAGAGGACGAUCAGCCACACUGGGACUGAGACACGGCCCAGACUCCUACGGGAGGCAGCAGUGGGGAAUAUUGGACAAUGGGCGCAAGCCUGAUCCAGCCAUGCCGCGUGAGUGAUGAAGGCCCUAGGGUUGUAAAGCUCUUUCGCCAGGGACGAUAAUGACGGUACCUGGAUAAGAAGCCCCGGCUAACUUCGUGCCAGCCGCCGCGGUAA